RNAcentral lists this ribosomal RNA (492 nucleotides) under uncultured bacterium. Its description in RNAcentral is "partial 16S ribosomal RNA". It matches the Rfam family "Bacterial small subunit ribosomal RNA", at positions 29 to 507 of the family's 1533-position model. The record is from RNAcentral.
AGUGAACGCUGGCGGUAGGCCUAACACAUGCAAGUCGAACGGCAGCACAGUAAGAGCUUGCUCUUAUGGGUGGCGAGUGGCGGACGGGUGAGGAAUACAUCGGAAUCUACUUUUUCGUGGGGGAUAACGUAGGGAAACUUACGCUAAUACCGCAUACGACCUACGGGUGAAAGCAGGGGAUCUUCGGACCUUGCGCGAUUGAAUGAGCCGAUGUCGGAUUAGCUAGUUGGCGGGGUAAAGGCCCACCAAGGCGACGAUCCGUAGCUGGUCUGAGAGGAUGAUCAGCCACACUGGAACUGAGACACGGUCCAGACUCCUACGGGAGGCAGCAGUGGGGAAUAUUGGACAAUGGGCGCAAGCCUGAUCCAGCCAUACCGCGUGGGUGAAGAAGGCCUUCGGGUUGUAAAGUCCUUUUGUUGGGAAAGAAAAGCAGCAGGUUAAUACCCCGCUGUUCUGACGGUACCCAAAGAAUAAGCACCGGCUAACUUCGUG